Molecule: RNA transcript, 3420 nt
Organism: Gadus morhua (Atlantic cod)
Lineage: Eukaryota; Metazoa; Chordata; Actinopteri; Gadiformes; Gadidae
Gene: lratb.1
Gene name: lecithin retinol acyltransferase b, tandem duplicate 1
Exons: 21
Source: RefSeq, a predicted model, not a curated record
UAUUAUUGACGGCGGACGGGCAACUUGAACCCCAACCCUUUGCCUUUAGCCUGCAUUCACCUGCAGCUUUGCACCGUCCGUAGCCACAACUACUAACCUCAAUGACAAAUUGCCCGCAUCUAGUCCACAUUGCCCGGCGCUUGGCGAUGUCCAAAACGCGUAGGAUGUUGCGUUGCAGCCAGCGCCUAAUGUACCAUUACAGUAGUAAUACUGCUCACAGUUCUACUAUUCCAUGCAGUACUACCCACUACUCUACCUCCAGCAAGUCCGUCCGGAUAGGAUGCGCCUCCGGGUUUUGGGGAGACACCUCCACAUCAGUGCCUCAGCUCAUCUAUGGCGGGAAGCUGGACUUCCUGGUGUUCGACUACCUUAGUGAGAUUACCAUGUCCCUCCUGACCGCCGCCAAGGCAAAGACGCCUACCAUGGGUUAUGCUCCAGACUUUGUGCAAGCAGCCAUCGCUCCAUUCAUCACUGACAUCCACAAGAGAGGUAUCCGGGUGGUGAGCAACGCUGGGGGUGUGAACCCCUUGGCAUGUGCUGGAGCUAUACAGGAAGUGAUUAAGAAGGCGGGGCUUGACCUGAAGGUUGCCGUGGUGACGGGCGAUGACCUCAUGACUCAGAAAGGCAGUCUGUCUGAGGUGAAGAUAGCGGAUGGUAGUGGUAAUCAAAGGUUACCACGGACCCUUCACAGUAUGAAUGCAUACCUGGGGGCGGUGUCUAUCCAGAGGAGUCUGGACCGGGGGGCUGACAUCGUGGUGACGGGCCGCUGUGUGGACUCAGCGGUGGCCCUGGGACCCCUGAUGCACUCGUUCGGCUGGAAGACAGAGAGCUAUGACCUGCUGGCUGCCGGAAGUCUUGCAGGACAUCUGAUAGAGUGUGGAGCCCAGAGCACUGGAGGAAUAUUCACCGACUGGCACACGGUCCCUGACUGGGACCGGAUGGGUUUCCCGAUAGUGGAGUGCUCCGUGGACGGCUCCUUCGUCCUCUCCAAGCCCCCCGGCACCGGGGGGCUGGUCUCCUUCGGUACGGUGGCUGAGCAGCUGGUGUACGAGAUCGCAGACCCCCGCCGCUACCUCCUGCCCGACGUCACCUGUGACUUCAGCCAGGUGGUCGUCACGGAGAUACCAGGUGUGGAGGGAGGAGCAGUCAGUGUGUCUGGUGCCAAAGGUUACGCCCCGUCAUGUGACUACAAGGUGUGUGCUACCUAUAUGGAUGGUUUCAGGGCGACCGCCGUGUGUCCGGUGGGAGGACCUCGGUCUGUGGAGAAGGCCAGAAGAACGGCCCAGAGCCUCAUUACCCGGGCGAAGAGGCUGUUCACACAGUUGGGGUUCGAAGAUUUCAGCUCCGUGAACAUUCAGGUCCUGGGAGCUGAGGACACGUACGGAGCCAACGCUGCUGGCCCGGGAUCCAGGGAGUCUGUGUUGUGGAUGUCUGUACACCACAAACAGAAAAAGGCUCUGGAGUUCUUUGCCAGAGAGAUCGCAUCUGCGGGUACUGGCAUGGCCCCCGGACUGAUGGGAAUCGUUGGCGGACGUCCGAGAGUGUCCCCUGUUCUGAAGCCGUUCUUCUUCAUGCUUCCCAAGUCCCUGCUCCAGGUGGAGUUGCACAUUGGUGGAGAGCUAGUUGAGACACUGUCUCAGGGGGCGGAGCCAGAGUCAGUGCAGCAGGAAGCCCGGCCCACUCAGGAAGAGGAAACUACUGAUGCUGAGCUGCCCAGCGGGACCCACAGCUACAGGAUAGAGGAGCUGGCAUACACCCGCAGUGGAGACAAGGGAGACUCGGCCAAUAUAGGAGUGAUUGCGCGUCACCCGGCCUUCUACCCCUACCUGAAGGAACACCUGACUGCUUCUGUGGUGGAGGACUACUUCUCUCACCUCAUACAGCCCGGCACACCCAACGCUGUCUCCCGGCAUCCUUCACCAUGAUGGCCCCCUAACCCCCAACCUGUCUCUGAAAGCACCGUACACUCUUCCCGGGAUCCAGGGCCUGAACUUCGUUCUUCAGAACUGUCUGGGGGGGGGAGGGGUGGCCUCACUCCGCAGCGACCCCCAGGGGAAGGCCUAUGGGCAGAUGCUGCUGGACUUGAAGCUCACCGGACUCCCAGACCUCAUGGGUCUGGUCGACUGAGAAAGAGACAUAGAGACCCAGUGAGAGAGAAAGAGAGAGAACACUCAUGAAAUCGACAAAACAACAUUUAAUACAAAUUCUUGCACAAUUUAAAUACAAGUUUGAUCGCGUGAAUUACCCCAUAAACAAAACAAAUGCUCUUUAUUUAUUUUUGUAUGAUUAGAGUUGAUUAGAGACGGUUUGUUGCGUUCGUGUCACCAAGACCAAGUUAGCGUGUGUUUUGCAUGCCAACCAAUCAGAGCAUUAGCUGGACCUUGUCUGCUGUUGUCAGAAAGCCAGUCAAGGCUUGACUCCUCGAAUCCCGGCCCGGGGGCUCCACAUAAGGCCCAAAAGCACACACGCUAGUUGUGCCUUUUUAAAAUGUGAACAUGGAUACGUUGGGGGCCCCUGACGUCUACCCAGGGGCCCCGUGGAAUGUGAGGGGCUCCCGUCUGGAAGUCUGUUUCCUUGUUUAUCCAUAAUUGCGACCAGACCAAACCAAGACCGAGCCAGAAUUCCUGCUCCUGGGUUUGGGUGGGUGGGGGCCACGGUCGCCCGUCGCCAUGGAAACACAUUAGUACAGCACUUGCCAACGCUUUAUGACACACUGCAUACAGCGUUUACUUGCUAUUUCUCCGUAGAUAUAUAGCAUUAGUAGAAGUAUUACUCAUGAAAUGAGGGGCUUAACUUGCUGUGUCCGGCUCGAUGUAGAGCCUACGACGACUAAAAAGGUCUGGCUACCCAGUGCUAACCCUGUCUAGCUUUAUUUAGAGCUAACUGGCUAUGGAUAACUAGCUGUAGUUCUAACUACCUCCAGCUAAAUGGGUGCUUCCUAUAGAGCAAACUGCCUACGGAUAACUAGCUAUAGCUAUUUCCAGCUACAUGUCAAGCUAACAGUUAGCAACCAAACGGAGACCAUCCAUCAUGAGCUAGCAUCUCCUGGUGUGUCUGCGGGGGGCGGGGGGGACAUUACCUCAUUGGGGUCAGUCUGGCUGAUCCCUGGCCCCUAUUCUGGGGGCCACAGGAAGGAAAAAAUGAAAUUGAGCGUCAAAUUUUUAGCCGUUUAAAUGUGUAGAAAAGUAAAAAAAAGUAUUGGCAACGUAUAAUAAACGUUGUCUUUUGUAACAUAACCGCAUUAUACGAUAAGACCUUAGUAAGACAAAACUAUGGUAGCAGGUUAGUAAUUUAACCAUUAAGCGAUUGAUUUAGAAACCAUACUACCUGAUAGUUGUAUGGUAUUGUGACGCCGCCAAAUAACAUUUUAUAGUGAUUUUGUAAAUUCUGGAUAAUAAAGAUAUUUUCUUGGAUCGAGAA